This 1847-nucleotide ribosomal RNA is filed under the name Escherichia coli. Its description in RNAcentral is "partial 23S ribosomal RNA". It matches the Rfam family "Bacterial large subunit ribosomal RNA", at positions 1 to 1873 of the family's 2925-position model. The record is from RNAcentral. Lineage: Bacteria; Pseudomonadati; Pseudomonadota; Gammaproteobacteria; Enterobacterales; Enterobacteriaceae.
GGUUAAGCGACUAAGCGUACACGGUGGAUGCCCUGGCAGUCAGAGGCGAUGAAGGACGUGCUAAUCUGCGAUAAGCGUCGGUAAGGUGAUAUGAACCGUUAUAACCGGCGAUUUCCGAAUGGGGAAACCCAGUGUGUUUCGACACACUAUCAUUAACUGAAUCCAUAGGUUAAUGAGGCGAACCGGGGGAACUGAAACAUCUAAGUACCCCGAGGAAAAGAAAUCAACCGAGAUUCCCCCAGUAGCGGCGAGCGAACGGGGAGCAGCCCAGAGCCUGAAUCAGUGUGUGUGUUAGUGGAAGCGUCUGGAAAGGCGCGCGAUACAGGGUGACAGCCCCGUACACAAAAAUGCACAUGCUGUGAGCUCGAUGAGUAGGGCGGGACACGUGGUAUCCUGUCUGAAUAUGGGGGGACCAUCCUCCAAGGCUAAAUACUCCUGACUGACCGAUAGUGAACCAGUACCGUGAGGGAAAGGCGAAAAGAACCCCGGCGAGGGGAGUGAAAAAGAACCUGAAACCGUGUACGUACAAGCAGUGGGAGCACGCUUAGGCGUGUGACUGCGUACCUUUUGUAUAAUGGGUCAGCGACUUAUAUUCUGUAGCAAGGUUAACCGAAUAGGGGAGCCGAAGGGAAACCGAGUCUUAACUGGGCGUUAAGUUGCAGGGUAUAGACCCGAAACCCGGUGAUCUAGCCAUGGGCAGGUUGAAGGUUGGGUAACACUAACUGGAGGACCGAACCGACUAAUGUUGAAAAAUUAGCGGAUGACUUGUGGCUGGGGGUGAAAGGCCAAUCAAACCGGGAGAUAGCUGGUUCUCCCCGAAAGCUAUUUAGGUAGCGCCUCGUGAAUUCAUCUCCGGGGGUAGAGCACUGUUUCGGCAAGGGGGUCAUCCCGACUUACCAACCCGAUGCAAACUGCGAAUACCGGAGAAUGUUAUCACGGGAGACACACGGCGGGUGCUAACGUCCGUCGUGAAGAGGGAAACAACCCAGACCGCCAGCUAAGGUCCCAAAGUCAUGGUUAAGUGGGAAACGAUGUGGGAAGGCCCAGACAGCCAGGAUGUUGGCUUAGAAGCAGCCAUCAUUUAAAGAAAGCGUAAUAGCUCACUGGUCGAGUCGGCCUGCGCGGAAGAUGUAACGGGGCUAAACCAUGCACCGAAGCUGCGGCAGCGACGCUUAUGCGUUGUUGGGUAGGGGAGCGUUCUGUAAGCCUGCGAAGGUGUGCUGUGAGGCAUGCUGGAGGUAUCAGAAGUGCGAAUGCUGACAUAAGUAACGAUAAAGCGGGUGAAAAGCCCGCUCGCCGGAAGACCAAGGGUUCCUGUCCAACGUUAAUCGGGGCAGGGUGAGUCGACCCCUAAGGCGAGGCCGAAAGGCGUAGUCGAUGGGAAACAGGUUAAUAUUCCUGUACUUGGUGUUACUGCGAAGGGGGGACGGAGAAGGCUAUGUUGGCCGGGCGACGGUUGUCCCGGUUUAAGCGUGUAGGCUGGUUUUCCAGGCAAAUCCGGAAAAUCAAGGCUGAGGCGUGAUGACGAGGCACUACGGUGCUGAAGCAACAAAUGCCCUGCUUCCAGGAAAAGCCUCUAAGCAUCAGGUAACAUCAAAUCGUACCCCAAACCGACACAGGUGGUCAGGUAGAGAAUACCAAGGCGCUUGAGAGAACUCGGGUGAAGGAACUAGGCAAAAUGGUGCCGUAACUUCGGGAGAAGGCACGCUGAUAUGUAGGUGAAGCGACUUGCUCGUGGAGCUGAAAUCAGUCGAAGAUACCAGCUGGCUGCAACUGUUUAUUAAAAACACAGCACUGUGCAAACACGAAAGUGGACGUAUACGGUGUGACGCCUGCCCGGUGCCGGA